This 253-nucleotide ribosomal RNA is filed under the name uncultured bacterium. RNAcentral describes it as "partial 16S ribosomal RNA". It matches the Rfam family "Bacterial small subunit ribosomal RNA", at positions 524 to 776 of the family's 1533-position model. The record is from RNAcentral.
UACGUAGGGUGCGAGCGUUAAUCGGAAUUACUGGGCGUAAAGCGUGCGCAGGCGGUCUGUUAAGACAGAUGUGAAAUCCCCGGGCUUAACCUGGGAACUGCAUUUGUGACUGGCAGGCUAGAGUAUGGCAGAGGGGGGUAGAAUUCCACGUGUAGCAGUGAAAUGCGUAGAGAUGUGGAGGAAUACCGAUGGCGAAGGCAAUCCCCUGGGCCUGCACUGACGCUCAUGCACGAAAGCGUGGGGAGCAAACAGG